Molecule: transfer RNA, 73 nt
Organism: Gorilla gorilla gorilla (western lowland gorilla)
Lineage: Eukaryota; Metazoa; Chordata; Mammalia; Primates; Hominidae
Rfam family: tRNA
About the family: Transfer RNA (tRNA) molecules are approximately 80 nucleotides in length. Their secondary structure includes four short double-helical elements and three loops (D, anti-codon, and T loops).
Source: Rfam
GCCCAGCUAGCUCAGUCGGUAGAGCAUAAGACUCUUAAUCUCAGGGUUGUGGAUUCGUACCCCAUGCUGGGUG